RNAcentral lists this ribosomal RNA (903 nucleotides) under Melanoctona tectonae. RNAcentral describes it as "eukaryotic LSU rRNA". It matches the Rfam family "Eukaryotic large subunit ribosomal RNA", at positions 24 to 943 of the family's 3401-position model. The record is from RNAcentral. Lineage: Eukaryota; Fungi; Ascomycota; Eurotiomycetes; Chaetothyriales; Herpotrichiellaceae.
CCCGGCGUACUUAAGCAUAUCAAUAAGCGGAGGAAAAGAAACCAACAGGGAUUGCCUCAGUAACGGCGAGUGAAGCGGCAACAGCUCAAAUUUGAAAUCUGGCCUCUUUGGGGUCCGAGUUGUAAUUUGUAGAGGAUGUUUCGGGUACCGCCUCGGUCUAAAUUUCUUGGAACAGAAUGUCAAAGAGGGUGAGAAUCCCGUCUUGGAUCGGCGGUAGGGCCCAUGUGAAACUCCUUCGACGAGUCGAGUUGUUUGGGAAUGCAGCUCAAAAUGGGUGGUAUAUUUCAUCUAAAGCUAAAUAUUGGCCAGAGACCGAUAGCGCACAAGUAGAGUGAUCGAAAGAUGAAAAGCACUUUGAAAAGAGAGUUAAACAGUAUGUGAAAUUGUUGAAAGGGAAGCGCUUGCAACCAGACUUGAGCGCGGCGGUUCCCCCUUCCUUUUGGCUGGGUUACUCCGCCGCGUCCAGGCCAACAUCGGUUCUGGGGGUCGGUUAAAGGCCCUGGGAAUGUAUCUACCCUUCGGGCGUAGACUUAUAGCCCAGGGUGUCAUGCGGCCUCCCGGGACCGAGGAACGCGCUUCGGCUCGGAUGUUGGCGUAAUGGUUGUCAGCGACCCGUCUUGAAACACGGACCAAGGAGUCUAACAUCUAUGCGAGUGUUUGGGUGUCAAACCCGGAACGCGAAAUGAAAGUGAACGGAGGUAGGAAGCUUCGGCUGCACUAUCGACCGAUCCUGAUGUCUUCGGAUGGAUUUGAGUAAGAGCAUAGCUGUUGGGACCCGAAAGAUGGUGAACUAUGCCUGAAUAGGGUGAAGCCAGAGGAAACUCUGGUGGAGGCUCGCAGCGGUUCUGACGUGCAAAUCGAUCGUCAAAUUUGGGUAUAGGGGCGAAAGACUAAUCGAACCAU